GGGCUCAAGUGAAAGCUCGGUUCGGUCUCUUUGGAGAUAGUGCUAAUCUUGAUGCAAGAUAGAUGUAUGGUUUGCAUGCAACAUACCAUAUUCUCAGAAAUCAAUUUUGACGCACCCGAUAGAACUCCUAGAUCAUGUGUGUCAUAUGAAAUCUUGCUUCAAUCUGUUUGGAGACAGUUUAGGUGCAAGAUUGGUGCAUGGUUUGCACAUAAUGCACCAUUGGCUCGGAAACCAUUAUGGAAGCACCCGAUAAUACUCCUAGGUUAAGAGGCUCAAGUGGAAGGUCGGUUCGAUCUGUUUGGAGAUAGUGCUAAUCUUGAUGAAAGAUAGGUGCACGAUUUUCAUGGAACAUACCAUAAGCUAAGAAAUCUAUUUGGAUGCAUCGCAAUAGAACUCCUAUAUGACAUGUGUCAUAUGGAAUCUCGCUUUGGUCUAUUUGGAGAUAGAGUUAGAUUUGGUGCAAGAAAGGUACA
RNAcentral lists this long non-coding RNA (473 nucleotides) under Sorghum bicolor (sorghum). Its description in RNAcentral is "long non-coding RNA (SBIC_LNC018459)". The record is from RNAcentral. Lineage: Eukaryota; Viridiplantae; Streptophyta; Magnoliopsida; Poales; Poaceae.